UACGGGGGGGGCAAGCGUUGUUCGGAAUUACUGGGCGUAAAGGGCUCGUAGGCGGCCAACUAAGUCGGAUGUGAAAUCCCCAGGCUCAACCUGGGAACUGCAUCCGAUACUGGAUGGCUUGAAUUCGGGAGAGGGAUGCAGAAUUCCAGGUGUAGCGGUGAAAUGCGUAGAUAUCAGGAGGAACACCGGUGGCGAAGGCGCACACCUGGCCCGAUACUGACGCUGAGGCGCGAAAGCUAGGGGAGCAAACGGG
This 253-nucleotide ribosomal RNA is filed under the name uncultured bacterium. RNAcentral's name for it is "partial 16S ribosomal RNA". It matches the Rfam family "Bacterial small subunit ribosomal RNA", at positions 524 to 776 of the family's 1533-position model. The record is from RNAcentral.